This 205-nucleotide long non-coding RNA is filed under the name Lathyrus oleraceus (garden pea). RNAcentral's name for it is "Pisum sativum (pea) long non-coding RNA (PSAT_LNC012363)". The record is from RNAcentral. Lineage: Eukaryota; Viridiplantae; Streptophyta; Magnoliopsida; Fabales; Fabaceae.
CACGUUUGUCAAAAAUUCAACCUUAAAAUUAUUAUCUCUUGUUUGAAACCCCUUUGAACCUAUUUAUCUCAUUCAUUGGUUGAUACUCACUACAGGCCUCAAAGUAGAAACUAAUUAUAUCCCUUAAUUUAAGAGGAUGAAAGAGUCUUGUUAGCAAUUGUGUGGGGUUGAAUUAGCAUAUGUUUGUGCUUAAAAGUUGGCAAAG